RNAcentral lists this ribosomal RNA (498 nucleotides) under uncultured bacterium. Its description in RNAcentral is "partial 16S ribosomal RNA". It matches the Rfam family "Bacterial small subunit ribosomal RNA", at positions 28 to 507 of the family's 1533-position model. The record is from RNAcentral.
GACGAACGCUGGCGGCGUGCCUAAUACAUGCAAGUCGAGCGGACGGACGAGAGGUUGCUCCCACACACGCAGCCGCCGACCGGUUGGGAACACCUGGGCAACCUUCCUGUAAGACCUGGAUAACUUCCGGGAACCGGGGCUAAUACCGGAUAAAUCUUUCCCUCACAUGAGGUAAAGCGUGAAGAUCGCAUCUCGCUUUAACUUACAGAUGAGCCCGCGCCGCAUUAGCUAGUUGGUAAGGUAACGGCUUACCAAGGCGACGAUGCGUAGCCGACCUGAGAGGGUGAUCGGCCACACUGGAACUGAGACACGGUCCAGACUCCUACGGGAGGCAGCAGUAGGGAAUCUUCCGCAAUGGGCGAAAGCCUGACGGAGCAACGCCGCGUGAGUGAUGAAGGUCUUCGGAUCGUAAAACUCUGUUGUCAGGGAAGAACAAUUGUCUAAGUAACUAUCCGCGUCUUGACGGUACCUAAUCAGAAAGCCACGGCUAACUACGUG